UCGUCAUCUUUUCCAUAGUCUUCUUCCGCUGCUCUUAAGUGGAUUUGCUAUUUCCAAGCCUCUGAGUUAUUGCCACUUUGAGUACGCAAAGUUCUGAGAUGACUUGAUUGUUGAGAACUGGUGACCAAGCUUGGAAAAAUGAAGUAGUUUGUGAGAUCAAUUUUGAACUUGCAUCUUGUGAUCAAGAUGAUUGUGAGGUUGUGAGGAAAGUAGGGGGAGGAAAAUACAACAAGGUCUUUGAAGGUAUUAAUCUCAAUACCAAUGAGCGAUGCAUAAUCAAAAUCCUCAAGCCUGUGAAGAAGAAGAAGAUUAAGAGGGAGAUUAAGACAUUUGAACACAGAGGCAUGUUCUUGGAAGACAUUUGUUUGGAUUCUUGAAAUGAGUUACCUGUUGCUUUUGUUACAUUCAAGUCUCGGUUGGGUGCAGCAUUAGUCUCCCAAUCUCAGCAGCAUACAGAUCCACUUCUUUGGAUAACUGACAUGGCUCCAGAACCGAGGGAUGUAUCUUGGAGAAAUCUGGUGAUACCAUACAGAGUUUUGCCACUUUGCAGGCUAGGUGUCAUUGUUGCAGCCUCUCUUCUUACAAUUUUCUUUGCA
Molecule: long non-coding RNA, 596 nt
Organism: Rosa rugosa (rugosa rose)
Lineage: Eukaryota; Viridiplantae; Streptophyta; Magnoliopsida; Rosales; Rosaceae
Exons: 5
Source: RefSeq, a predicted model, not a curated record